This 3278-nucleotide long non-coding RNA is filed under the name Lynx pardinus (Iberian lynx). The record is from RNAcentral. Lineage: Eukaryota; Metazoa; Chordata; Mammalia; Carnivora; Felidae.
GUGCAUUACUUUCCGAUCAAUAAAGAAAACAAGAGAAAUACCCAGAAACUACAAAUGAUAAGGAAACGUGACUCCAGAAAGGUCAGUGGGCUCUGAGGUCGACAUUUGCCCUGGGGGCAGGUGCUGAUCCCUAAUGGAAAAGAACAGAGGUCACAAACUAUCCUUCAAAGGCCAGAUCCAGCUACCUGGUUUUUUUUUGUUGUUGUUGUUGGUCCUUGAGCUAAGAACGGUUGUUAUCUUUUUAAAGGACUGAGCCAAGACAUUUUUUACACUUUAAAAGGUUGCUUAAAUAUAAAGGGAAAAUCUGUGACAAGACCCUAGGUGGCCCACUGAGCCUAAAAUAGUUACCAUCUGUUCCUUUACGACAAGUUUGCCAACCUUGCCCUAAGCCAACACCGCGUAUUUUGACUUUUGUUACAGGUAGCACCCCACUUCUAAGUACUAAAUUCCAAAUUAGCUGGGACUGGGUUUGCCUGCCAGUGACAGUAUCCAAAAUGGCAGCGGUUUAAAUAAGGCAACAACUUGUUGUCACUGGCCCCAAAAGUCCCAAAAGUAGUACAAAGCUGGCAGAAGGCUUCACAGGGUUAUGAACAGAAAGUCUUUCUUCUUGUCUCCUUACUUGUAGGAUCUCCAUCUCAUGGUCUAAGAUGAUGGCACGUACAUCCCGGUAGAAGGAAAGAAGAAGAUAGAAACAAACAAGGAGAGGAAAGGACAGCUAAGCAGCUUUCCCUUAAGGAGAUGCACUGGAAGUUGCCACGCUUCACGCUGGCUUACAUCCCAUUGGGCAGAGCUUAGGCACAUGAGAGGAUGUGAAAUGUAGUCCUUAUCUGGGCCACCAUAAAGAGGUAUUUUGCUAUGAAAGAAUGGAAUGAUGAACGCUGAGGAGAACCAACAGAGCUUGCCACAAGUAUUUACAACACAGGAAAGGUGUGAGGGUGAAACGAAGUAUGGCACAUGAGAUCAUCUGGCACUGGGCUUGGAAUGCCUCCCUUCCCAAACGAAAGGGGAACUGUUCGUUUAGCUCAGAGUUUCUCGAAGUCUCGUAACCCGUUGAAGGUACAUCUGUGGUGGGGAUGGUUCCUCGGGUCCCAUCUUCACACCAUUGUAUAAUCAUCUUCUGUAAAGACAGGCCGGAGCUGGCCGUGACUGCCUCUGAUGACUAGAAUGCGGGACAUCUCUUCUAAGACCAGGUUGUAACAGAUGAUGCUCCCCAUCUCACUGGCCUCUCUCUGGGUCUCGCUCGCUCACUCUGGUCAAGCCAGCUGUCACGCCAGGAGCCGUGCUAUGCAAAGGGCCGUGGGGCAGGGAACUGGAGGCAGCCUGCGGCCGACAGGCUGUGAACCAAGCGCUGCCCACAACUGCAUGACUGGGCUUUGGAAGCAGGUCCUGCCUCGGUGGAGCCUUGACGGACCACAGCCGGGCCUAGCAUAGCGAUCACGGACGAGGAGAGAGUCUUGAAGCCCAGCACCGAGCUACGUUACACCCAGAUGUCCACCCCACAGGAGUCACGAGAUAAUAAAUGUAUUUUAAAUUUGCUAAGCUUCAGGAUAAUCUGCUGUGAACAGCAGAUAAUGGCUACCACAGCAAAAAAGCUAUAAAGUUACAGCAAAUGCCAAUGUGUUUAUCAGCAGAGUCACCGAGGCUCUUAUGCAAAGUCAGAGGAACCAACCCAAUUUUUUUAAGUUUUUAUUUUAAUUCCAGUUAGUUAAGAUACAGUGUUAGACUAGUUUCAGGUGUAUAACAGAGUCGUUCAACGUUGGCAUGCAUCACCCUGCGAAACCAACCCAAUUUUUGAGCUUAUGAAUAACUUGCUGUUGUCAGUAUGCAGGAGCAUAUGCUCGAUGCUGAGGAGAAUAAAAGCUAAGGAAGUCGAACAUACCUCGCAGGAGGUGCUCACAAAUGCUGAUGGGGUGGGAAGAAGAAAGGAAGGAAGGGAGGGAGGGAUGAAGCGAGAGAGUGAAGGACCCAGGGAAGCAGAAGAGGGAGGAGGGACGGGAGGAGGGAGAGAAGGGAGGGAGGGAAGGAGGGAGAGAGGAAAUGAAGAAGGGGAAGGGAAGGCACGGAAAGAGAAGGAAAGAUAUCAACUUACUUCUAUUCUCACUGUAUUUUCCUCUUUCCUCAGCGAGCCCAUCUAUCACUGCUUCAAUGAAAGUAUCUGGCCAAACAUCAAACAGAGUCCACACAAGCCUUUCUGGCUCUGGCCUUCCAAAUGCCUUAGCAAUUCAAAGAAUUUACAGGGUUUGGGGAGGAAGCGAAAGACCGGGAGAAAGUGAUUUGUGGUAGAGACAGAGUACCGUGGAAAAGCGAGGGGAAGAAAGCACGCCCUCAUCCCCCAAAUAGAACGCGGACAGGGAGAGAGAGAAGAAAGAGAUCUGAAAAACUAAGAACGCAGGGAAUCUGGACUCAUCCCCACUACUCUGUAGGACACCAAUGAUUGUUGCACAAUCUCAACAAUGGAAGGACGAAUGUGGGCGAGUUUUUGCUUGUACCUGCCCCCCCGGAGAUGGGAGCUCAGGAAAAAAUCAAGUUAGGUUACAGAAAAAUAAUUUUUUUUCUUUCAUGCUUGCGUUUGUGUACUGAGACCUGCUGCUCUGCCGUUCAGAGUCCAGUUCCACAUAGUCCCAAUUGUUCUUUUUAAUCCCACGCGAACUUGCAGAAUGGCUAAGAGCACGGGCUUUGGAGCCAGUCAGAAUGGAGUCUGCUCUGCCAACUACCAACUGUUGGGAACAUGGGAAAAACUUAAUCCACUUGAUUCUCUUUCCUCAUCCAUUAAAGAGAAGCUACAAUAUCUCUUUCAUAGGGUUAUGAUACGAAUUUUUUGAGACAAUGUACAUUAGGAUACUCAUCACAGUGUUUGACAUGGUAAGAACCAAAUAAAUAGAAGUCAUUAUCAUUACAAAACUCUAGACACAGGACAUAGGAUUCUGAUGGAACUGUCUGGGUCCCCUUCUCUAAGGAACAAGUAAAAAUCAGGCGCACAGACUUCUGGUGCUGUACAAACAAGCAAUCCAACUGCAGUCGAUUUCUCCCGCUGAUGACAAUAGAAAAUUCUAGCAGGCAGCUUGAGGUGAAAAGUCAAAACUUGAAGAUCGAUCCAUAAUGAUAGUGAGCUUUCCUGGUGGGUUUUUUUUUUCUCCUUUAUCUCUUAGGAUUUAACCUCAGGGUAAUGAAAUUUUACAAGUAUGAACACUAAAACGUCCAAGAGAAAUCUCCUUUUCUGACCAGAGGCCCAAGAAAGGAAGAACCCAGCAGGGCGGGGGAGGGUGGAGGACUGUCUU